Molecule: ribosomal RNA, 468 nt
Filed under: uncultured bacterium
Lineage: Bacteria
Description: partial 16S ribosomal RNA
Rfam family: Bacterial small subunit ribosomal RNA
Source: RNAcentral
GACGAACGCUGGCGGCGUGCUUAACACAUGCAAGUCGAACGGAAAGGCCCUGCUUUUGUGGGGUGCUCGAGUGGCGAACGGGUGAGUAACACGUGAGUAACCUGCCCUUGACUUUGGGAUAACUUCAGGAAACUGGGGCUAAUACCGGAUAGGAGCUCCUGCUGCAUGGUGGGGGUUGGAAAGUUUCGGCGGUUGGGGAUGGACUCGCGGCUUAUCAGCUUGUUGGUGGGGUAGUGGCUUACCAAGGCUUUGACGGGUAGCCGGCCUGAGAGGGUGACCGGCCACAUUGGGACUAAGAUACGGCCCGGACUACUACGGGAAGCAGCAGUGGGGGAUGUUGCACGAUGGGCGGAAGCCGGAUGCAGCAACGCCGCGUGCGGGAUAACGGCCUUCGGGUUGUAAACCGCUUUCGCCUGUGACGAAGCGUGAGUGACGGUAAUGGGUAAAGAAGCACCGGCUAACUACGUG